UACAUAGGGGGCGAGCGUUAUCCGGAAUUAUUGGGUGUAAAGGGUGCGUAGACGGGCUUUUAAGUUGGUUGUGAAAUCCCUCGGCUCAACUGAGGAACUGCAACCAAAACUGGAAGUCUUGAGUGUCGGAGAGGAAAGUGGAAUUCCUAGUGUAGCGGUGAAAUGCGCAGAUAUUAGGAGGAACACCAGUGGCGAAGGCGACUUUCUGGACGAUAACUGACGUUGAGGCACGAAAGUGUGGGGAGCAAAC
This 250-nucleotide ribosomal RNA is filed under the name uncultured prokaryote. RNAcentral describes it as "partial 16S ribosomal RNA". It matches the Rfam family "Bacterial small subunit ribosomal RNA", at positions 524 to 773 of the family's 1533-position model. The record is from RNAcentral.